UAUGGCCAUAUAAUGUUGAAAUACAGGUUCUCGUACAAUCACUGAAGUUAGGCAACAUUGAGCCUGCUCAGUACCUAGUUGGGUGAUCCUUUAGGAAUACCAGGUGCUGUAAG
Non-coding RNA from Acanthosepion pharaonis, 113 nucleotides. Lineage: Eukaryota; Metazoa; Mollusca; Cephalopoda; Sepiida; Sepiidae. The record is from the annotation of a GenBank genome assembly.